This 440-nucleotide ribosomal RNA is filed under the name uncultured bacterium. Its description in RNAcentral is "partial 16S ribosomal RNA". It matches the Rfam family "Bacterial small subunit ribosomal RNA", at positions 338 to 795 of the family's 1533-position model. The record is from RNAcentral.
CCUACGGGUGGCAGCAGUGAGGGAUAUUGGUCAAUGGGGGAAACCCUGAACCAGCAACGCCGCGUGAGGGAAGACGGUUCUAGGGUUGGAAACCUCUGUCCGCUGGGAAGAAAAUGACGGUAGCAGAGGAGGAAGCUCCGGUUAACUACGGUCCAGCAGCCGCGGUAAUUCGUAGGGAGCCAGCGUUGUCCGGAAUUACUGGGGGUAAAGGGUGUGUAGGCGGCUUUGCAAGUCAGAAGUGAAAUCCAUGAGCUUAAACCAUGAAGUGCCUUUGAAACUGCAGAGCUUGAGUGGCGUAGAGGUAGGCGGAAUUCGCGGUGUAGCGGUGAAAUGCGUAGAGAUCGGGAGGAACACCAGUGGCGAAGGCGGCCUGCUGGGCUCUAACUGACGCUGAGGCACGAAAGCGUGGGUAGCAAACAGGAUUAGAUACCCUUGUAGUC